AAGUCGUAACAAGGUUUCCGUAGGUGAACCUGCGGAAGGAUCAUUAACACUUCUCUCUAUGCUUACUUGCGCUAGCAAGCAGUAUAGUGCAGAUACACACAUCCGUGCUCCUUUCUUUUUUUCACACCUUUAACCGAACUUUUAAUUUUUUUUACUGGACUGGACUUAACGGUCGGUCUAUUUGUUAAUCAUGGGUAGACAUGCGUUUGUGCAUGUGUACUUAUGUACUUACACAACUCUUAACAAUGGAUAUCUCGGCUCUC
RNAcentral lists this unclassified non-coding RNA (263 nucleotides) under fungal sp. Its description in RNAcentral is "partial internal transcribed spacer region". The stretch from base 1 to 46 matches the Rfam family "Eukaryotic small subunit ribosomal RNA", at positions 1786 to 1831 of the family's 1831-position model. The record is from RNAcentral. Lineage: Eukaryota; Fungi.